AAAUUUAGGUUCACAAAACCAAGGGCCUUCAAAGCCCUAAACAGGGGCCACCCCCUAAUUUCUG
RNAcentral lists this transfer RNA (64 nucleotides) under Lygodactylus bradfieldi. Its description in RNAcentral is "tRNA-Trp". Lineage: Eukaryota; Metazoa; Chordata; Lepidosauria; Squamata; Gekkonidae. The record is from RNAcentral.